UACGUAGGUGGCAAGCGUUGUCCGGAUUUACUGGGCGUAAAGAGCGCGCAGGCGGUUGUGCAAGUCGCGUGUGAAAGCCCCCGGCUCAACUGGGGAGGGUCACGCGAUACUGCUCGACUUGAAGGCAGGAGAGGGAAGUGGAAUUCCCGGUGUAGUGGUGAAAUGCGUAGAUAUCGGGAGGAACACCAAUGGCGAAGGCAGCUCGCUGGGACGUUACUGACGCUGAGGCGCGACAGCGUGGGGAGCAAACAGG
Molecule: ribosomal RNA, 253 nt
Filed under: uncultured bacterium
Lineage: Bacteria
Description: partial 16S ribosomal RNA
Rfam family: Bacterial small subunit ribosomal RNA
Source: RNAcentral